GGUGAGAGUGGCGAACGGGUGAGUAACACGUAGGUGAUCUAUCUUGAGGUCUGGGAUAGCUUGUGGAAACACUGGGUAAUACUGGAUGCGACCUGUAGUUUGCGGACUAUGGGGGAAAGCCGCUUAGGCGGUGCCUUAAGCUGAGCCUGCGUCUCAUUAGUUAGUUGGUGGGGUAAUGGCUUACCAAGGCGACGAUGAGUAGCCGGCCUGAGAGGGUGAUCGGCCACACUGGGACUGAGACACGGCCCAGACUCCUACGGGAGGCAGCAGCUAAGAAUCUUCCGCAAUGGGGGGAACCCUGACGGAGCGACGCCGCGUGGACGAAGAAGGCCGGAAGGUUGUAAAGUCCUUUUCCUGGGGGAGAAUAAGGUAUGGAGGGAAUGCCAUACAGAUGACGUGAACCAGGGAAUAAGCCCCGGCUAAUUACGUGCCAGCAGCCGCGGUAACACGUAAGGGGCGAGCGUUGUUCGGAUUUAUUGGGCGUAAAGGGCGUGUAGGCGGUGAGAUAAGACUGGUGUGAAAGAUCCCGGCUCAACCGGGAGAGCGCGCUGGAAACUGUCUUACUUGAGUGAUGGAGGGGGAGCUGGAAUUCCUGGUGUAGGGGUGAACUCUGUAGAGAUCAGGAAGAACACCGGAGGCGAAGGCGAGCUCCUGGCCAUUUACUGACGCUGAGGCGCGAAAGCGUGGGGAGCGAACAGGAUUAGAUACCCUGGUAGUCCACGCUGU
This 726-nucleotide ribosomal RNA is filed under the name uncultured organism. Its description in RNAcentral is "bacterial SSU rRNA". It matches the Rfam family "Bacterial small subunit ribosomal RNA", at positions 88 to 803 of the family's 1533-position model. The record is from RNAcentral.